GCCGGUAUGGCGAAAUGGUAGACGCGGUAGACUCAAAAUCUAUUCUAGGCAACUAGGUGCUGGUUCGAGUCCGGCUAUCGGCA
RNAcentral lists this transfer RNA (83 nucleotides) under Chlamydiales bacterium. RNAcentral's name for it is "tRNA-Leu". It matches the Rfam family "tRNA". From Rfam's summary of the family: Transfer RNA (tRNA) molecules are approximately 80 nucleotides in length. Their secondary structure includes four short double-helical elements and three loops (D, anti-codon, and T loops). The record is from RNAcentral. Lineage: Bacteria; Pseudomonadati; Chlamydiota; Chlamydiia; Chlamydiales.